This is a long non-coding RNA of Ricinus communis (castor bean), 704 nucleotides long. RefSeq lists it as uncharacterized. The record is from RefSeq and is a predicted model, not a curated record. The transcript has 3 exons. Lineage: Eukaryota; Viridiplantae; Streptophyta; Magnoliopsida; Malpighiales; Euphorbiaceae.
AGCAAAGGCAAUUGCUUUCGAUGAGGUUGAUAAGGCCCCUGAGGAGAAGAAGAGGGGAAUAACUAUUGCCACAAAAUGUACUAACCGGUUUAAUGCAGCUGUUAAUGGUACCAGUUUAAUGCAGCUGUCAAACGAGAAAUAGCUGCACAAAACCUCUGAAGCAAACACCCCUGUAUGCCUCAAUUCUACAUGAGAACUGCAGAUGUAACUGGAGAAGUGGAAUUAGCUGUAGAUGUUAAAAUGGUGAUGCCCGGUGAUAAUGUGACAGCAAGAUUUGAGUCAUUGUCACCCGUGCCUCUUGAAGCAGGUCAAAAAUUUGCUUUGAGAGAGGGAGGUAGUACAGUUGGUGCUGGGGUCUCAAGAGUGAUUGGCUAAGAUCCUCCUUCACUGACUUAAUUUUUUUUUUCAGGUCUGCUCAUUUUUGAAAGGUAGAAAAAGAUGAUGACAUUAAGUUUGCUGUUUGUCCUAGCUUUUAUUAGAAAGAAUAAGUUUCUUGUUUUUCUACUUGGGUAAAUACAUAAAUGUAAUUCUUUUUGUGAAGUUAAGAUGCAAAAUUUGGCACUUGUUUUUGGGUUUAGAAAUUCCAUAAUACAAUUACCAGGCAUGAACUGAUUACAUUAGAAUCCAAUGCUAGAAUCUAUAGCUGUGUGCUUUUCUAAAGUAUAAUCCUUUUGGAUUGCCCAUAUUGAUAAUUGAACUUUUCA